This 320-nucleotide ribosomal RNA is filed under the name uncultured bacterium. RNAcentral's name for it is "bacterial SSU rRNA". It matches the Rfam family "Bacterial small subunit ribosomal RNA", at positions 470 to 789 of the family's 1533-position model. The record is from RNAcentral.
UGACGGUAACUUACCAGAAAGGGACGGCUAACUACGUGCCAGCAGCCGCGGUAAUACGUAUGGAGCAAGCGUUAUCCGGAUUUACUGGGUGUAAAGGGAGCGUAGACGGGACAGCAAGUCUGAUGUGAAAGGCGGGGGCUCAACCCCUGGACUGCAUUUGAAACUGUAGCCCUUGAGUAUCGGAGAGGCAAGCGGAAUUCCUAGUGUAGCGGUGAAAUGCGUAGAUAUUAGGAGGAACACCAGUGGCGAAGGCGGCUUGCUGGACGACAACUGACGCUGAGGCGCGAAAGCGUGGGGAGCAAACAGGAUUAGAUACCCUG